RNAcentral lists this ribosomal RNA (433 nucleotides) under uncultured bacterium. Its description in RNAcentral is "partial 16S ribosomal RNA". It matches the Rfam family "Bacterial small subunit ribosomal RNA", at positions 29 to 507 of the family's 1533-position model. The record is from RNAcentral.
AACGAACGCUGGCGGCAUGCCUAACACAUGCGAGUCGAACGAGACCUUCGGGUCUAGUGGCACACGGGUGCGUAACGCGUGGGAACCUGCCCUUAGGUUCGGAAUAACUCCCCGAAAGGGGUGCUAAUACCGGAUAAUGUCUUCGGACCAAAGAUUUAUCGCCUUUGGAUGGGCCCGCGUUGGAUUAGCUAGUUGGUAGGGUAAAAGCCUACCAAGGCGACGAUCCAUAGCUGGUCUGAGAGGAUGAUCAGCCACACUGGGACUGAGACACGGCCCAGACUCCUACGGGAGGCAGCAGUGGGGAAUAUUGGACAAUGGGCGAAAGCCUGAUCCAGCAAUGCCGCGUGAGUGAUGAAGGCCUUAGGGUUGUAAAGCUCUUUUACCCGGGAUGAUAAUGACAGUACCGGGAGAAUAAGCUCCGGCUAACUCCGUG